RNAcentral lists this ribosomal RNA (497 nucleotides) under uncultured bacterium. RNAcentral's name for it is "partial 16S ribosomal RNA". It matches the Rfam family "Bacterial small subunit ribosomal RNA", at positions 28 to 507 of the family's 1533-position model. The record is from RNAcentral.
GAUGAACGCUGGCGGCGUGCCUAAUACAUGCAAGUCGAGCGAACAGACGAGGAGCUUGCUCCUCUGACGUUAGCGGCGGACGGGUGAGUAACACGUGGAUAACCUACCUAUAAGACUGGGAUAACUUCGGGAAACCGGAGCUAAUACCGGAUAAUAUAUUGAACCGCAUGGUUCAAUAGUGAAAGACGGUUUUGCUGUCACUUAUAGAUGGAUCCGCGCCGCAUUAGCUAGUUGGUAAGGUAACGGCUUACCAAGGCAACGAUGCGUAGCCGACCUGAGAGGGUGAUCGGCCACACUGGAACUGAGGCACGGUCCAGACUCCUACGGGAGGCAGCAGUAGGGAAUCUUCCGCAAUGGGCGAAAGCCUGACGGAGCAACGCCGCGUGAGUGAUGAAGGUCUUCGGAUCGUAAAACUCUGUUAUUAGGGAAGAACAAAUGUGCAAGUAACUAUGCACGUCUUGACGGUACCUAAUCAGAAAGCCACGGCUAACUACGUG